AGUGAACGCUGGCGGUAGGCCUAACACAUGCAAGUCGAACGGCAGCACAGUAAGAGCUUGCUCUUACGGGUGGCGAGUGGCGGACGGGUGGGGAAUACAUCGGAAUCUACUUUUUCGUGGGGGAUAACGUAGGGAAACUUACGCUAAUACCGCAUACGACCUACGGGUGAAAGCAGGGGAUCUUCGGACCUUGCGCGAUUGAAUGAGCCGAUGUCGGAUUAGCUAGUUGGCGGGGUAAAGGCCCACCAAGGCGACGAUCCGCAGCUGGUCUGAGAGGAUGAUCAGCCACACUGGAACUGAGACACGGUCCAGACUCCUACGGGAGGCAGCAGUGGGGAAUAUUGGACAAUGGGCGCAAGCCUGAUCCAGCCAUACCGCGUGGGUGAAGAAGGCCUUCGGGUUGUAAAGCCCUUUUGUUGGGAAAGAAAAGCAGCAGGUUAAUACCCCGCUGUUCUGACGGUACCCAAAGAAUAAGCACCGGCUAACUUCGUG
Molecule: ribosomal RNA, 492 nt
Filed under: uncultured bacterium
Lineage: Bacteria
Description: partial 16S ribosomal RNA
Rfam family: Bacterial small subunit ribosomal RNA
Source: RNAcentral